RNAcentral lists this ribosomal RNA (490 nucleotides) under uncultured bacterium. RNAcentral describes it as "bacterial SSU rRNA". It matches the Rfam family "Bacterial small subunit ribosomal RNA", at positions 28 to 534 of the family's 1533-position model. The record is from RNAcentral.
GACGAACGCUGGCGGCGUGCUUAACACAUGCAAGUCGAACGGUAAGGCCCUUCGGGGUACACGAGUGGCGAACGGGUGAGUAACGCGUGAGUAACCUGCCCUUGACUCUGGGAUAACAGAUGGAAACGUCUGCUAAUACCGGAUACUCAGCCUUGUGGGCAUCCACAGGGUUGGAAAGCUCCGGCGGUCAAGGAUGGACUCGCGUCCUAUCAGCUAGUUGGUGGGGUAAUGGCCUACCAAGGCGACGACGGGUAGCCGGCCUGAGAGGGCGACCGGCCACAUUGGGACUGAGAUACGGCCCAGACUCCUACGGGAGGCAGCAGUGGGGAAUAUUGCACAAUGGGCGCAAGCCUGAUGCAGCAACGCCGCGUGCGGGAUGACGGCCUUCGGUUGUAAACCGCUUUCAGCAGGGACGAAGGCGCAAGUGACGGUACCUGCAGAAGAAGCACCGGCUAACUACGUGCCAGCAGCCGCGGUAAAACGUAGCAUG